RNAcentral lists this ribosomal RNA (514 nucleotides) under uncultured bacterium. RNAcentral's name for it is "bacterial SSU rRNA". It matches the Rfam family "Bacterial small subunit ribosomal RNA", at positions 153 to 644 of the family's 1533-position model. The record is from RNAcentral.
GAAACCUGGGCUAAUACCGCAUACAGCACCGGCUUGGAAGCCGGAUGUGAAAGCUGGCCUCUCGAAGAAGCUGGCACCAUCGGAUGAGCUCGCGGCCUAUCAGCUAGUUGGUGGGGUAACGGCCUACCAAGGCGAUGACGGGUAGCUGGCGUGAGAGCGUGGCCAGCCACACUGGGACUGAGACACGGCCCAGACUCCUACGGGAGGCAGCAGUGGGGAAUAUUGCGCAAUGGGCGAAAGCCUGACGCAGCGACGCCGCGUGGGGGAGGAAGGCCUCAGGGUCGUAAACCCCUGUCAGGUGGGACGAACCACUGAUCGGUUAAUACCCGGGUCGGUCUGACGGUACCACCAGAGGAAGCUCCGGCUAACUCCGUGCCAGCAGCCGCGGUAAUACGGAGGGAGCUAGCGUUGUUCGGAAUCACUGGGCGUAAAGGGCGCGUANGCNGUCCGGGUAAGUCGAGUGUGAAAUUCCGGGGCUCAACCCCGCGAACUGCAUUCGAUACUGCUCGACUAA